AUUGAACGCUGGCGGCAGGCCUAACACAUGCAAGUCGAGCGGAUGAAGGGAGCUUGCUCCUGGAUUCAGCGGCGGACGGGUGAGUAAUGCCUAGGAAUCUGCCUGGUAGUGGGGGAUAACGUCCGGAAACGGGCGCUAAUACCGCAUACGUCCUGAGGGAGAAAGUGGGGGAUCUUCGGACCUCACGCUAUCAGAUGAGCCUAGGUCGGAUUAGCUAGUUGGUGGGGUAAAGGCCUACCAAGGCGACGAUCCGUAACUGGUCUGAGAGGAUGAUCAGUCACACUGGAACUGGGACAGGGUCCAGACUCCUACGGGAGGCAGCAGUGGGGAAUAUUGGACAAUGGGCGAAAGCCUGAUACAGCCAUGCCGCGUGUGUGAAGAAGGUCUUCGGAUUGUAAAGCACUUUAAGUUGGGAGGAAGGGCAGUAAGUUAAUACCUUGCUGUUUUGACGUUACCAACAGAAUAAGCACCGGCUAACUUCGUG
Molecule: ribosomal RNA, 484 nt
Filed under: uncultured bacterium
Lineage: Bacteria
Description: partial 16S ribosomal RNA
Rfam family: Bacterial small subunit ribosomal RNA
Source: RNAcentral